RNAcentral lists this ribosomal RNA (452 nucleotides) under uncultured bacterium. RNAcentral describes it as "bacterial SSU rRNA". It matches the Rfam family "Bacterial small subunit ribosomal RNA", at positions 340 to 784 of the family's 1533-position model. The record is from RNAcentral.
UACGGAAGGCAGCAGUGGGGAAUAUUGCACAAUGGGCGCAAGCCUGAUGCAGCCAUGCCGCGUGUAUGAAGAAGGCCUUCGGGUUGUAAAGUACUUUCAGCGGGGAGGAAGGCGGUGAAGUUAAUAGCUUCACCGAUUGACGUUACCCGCAGAAGAAGCACCGGCUAACUCCGUGCCAGCAGCCGCGGUAAUACGGAGGGUGCAAGCGUUAAUCGGAAUUACUGGGCGUAAAGCGCACGCAGGCGGUCUGUCAAGUCGGAUGUGAAAUCCCCGGGCUUAACCUGGGAACUGCAUUCGAACUGGCAGGCUAGAGUCUUGUAGAGGGGGUAGAAUUCCAGGUGUAGCGGUGAAAUGCGUAGAGAUCUGGAGGAAUACCGGUGGCGAAGGCGGCCCCUGGGACAAGACUGACGCUCAGGGUGCGAAAGCGUGGGGAGCGAAACAGGGAUUAGGAU